Molecule: long non-coding RNA, 1995 nt
Filed under: Heterocephalus glaber (naked mole-rat)
Lineage: Eukaryota; Metazoa; Chordata; Mammalia; Rodentia; Bathyergidae
Description: lncRNA (ENSHGLG00000038395.1)
Source: RNAcentral
CACCCACACACCCUGAAAUCUUCACAAGGGAAAUACCGAGUGCUGUAGCAGGGGCUUUCCACCAAAGGACGCAAUUCCUGCAGGGAAGCGGGGGGAGGGCAGUGCCCAGGGAGUGGGGUCCAUGGGGCUCGCGCCCCUCCCUUACCAGCUUCAUGGUGUUGUUAUUCUGCUCCCAGCGCCACAGCAUCACGCUCAUCUUACUUCUGCCGGAGCAGAAAAGGGGGAGCGGAAGAAGGGCAGGAAAGGAGGAGGCGGCGGCGAGGCACCUGCCCGCAAGCCGCCUGGUCCCGCCUCGCUCCGGAUCCCGCGCUCCGCCCCGCAGGCAUCCCCGGCGGUAACAGCUCUGCACCGUGCUGCUCCCGCUGCUCCCGAGGCUCCGCGGGGCGCAGGGGACCCAGCCGGGGGCACAGGGGCCGGGCGCUCAGGUCCCGCGCUCUCGCCCACCCUGCUGCCUCCGCCAGCCGCUGGCUGGCGCGGGUGGAGGAAGCGGGAGAGAGGGUCGGAGCUAGGAGGUCUUCCCGAACCGCGCCGGGCACCGUGGGAACCGCACACCCACGCUGCGCUCGCCUGCAGCGUUUAUUUCCUGCUACGUAAGGACCCGGGCUGGGUCGUUUUCAAACGCACCUGGCUGCUGCCAGAGAAAGGACAUCCGCGCCCCGGAGGGCGGGAGGAGCGGACAGGCCAGGCGGAGACAUGGGAGGCGGCCUUUGUUUCCUCUCUGGCCUCCACCUGCUGCAGACUGCCCUGUGUCCUCCUCCCGGACUCUGGCCGACUAGCCCAGCGCAGGACCUGCGCCCAACACCCUGUGAUCUGACAGCGGUCCUCCAGGGAACCCCAACAACUUCCCUAGCCUGAAAAGGCUCUGCAGCCCUCCCGCUCCACACAGUAAGGUGGCUCCAGCACUCACGCCUUGGGCAGCAGAGACAUUUGGGAUCUGCAACUCUCCUGGUUGCAGAGUUCUGAUGGGAACUUAUGGAAUUAACUUAUUACACAUUCUUUUCAGUAGUUAGAAUUGUUCAAAAUGAAGGAGGUGAUGAAGUGGAUCCUAUUCUUUUAAAAAGUGGUCUUUAAAACAUGCCAGUUCCGGCUGGGGAUGUAGUUCAGCAGACCUGCCCAGCAAGCCCAAGGCCCUGGGUUCGAUUCCAGGUACCAAAACAAAAAAGGUGAAAAUGCCAAUUAGAUCAAAAUGUUGCCGCAUUACCUACAUCUUUCGGGAUUUGAUUUCUCUUCGUAGUUAAAUCACCUUAGACUCUUAGUCUUUCCUGUGCCUGCAGCUGCUCUCCUGCCCUCUGCCCCUGGCUGACUGCUCCAGCAACACUGAGUGGCCUCUUUCUUGUUCUCAAACACCUUGGGAUCUGGGUACCUAGCGGGCCCACUCCCUAGAACACUGCUCCCCCUGGACCUGCCCAUCGUCUCCUUUCUAACGUCACCCACUCAGAGGGACUUUUGACUCCUUCCCACUCUCUUCUAUCCCAUCAUGGUUGUCCUUCCUUCACCGCUCACUGUAUUAACUGAACUCACUUGUAUUCUUGCAUCUUUUCUGCCAUGUCCCACCAGGUGACAAAUUCCUCUACUGUGUCCCCAGCGCGUAGACCAGUGUGCAGUCCACAGUGGGAGCUCAGUGCAUGUCACCCAUAUGAGCUGUUGACGACUAUGCUACGACAGUCCGUGCAGCCUUCUCUGCAGCGAGGGCUGAGCCAGGCCCAGCACACAGCUGCCCUCCUGCCCGAGGCCCGAGCUCAGCCUGCCUGACCACAAGGGACACCUCUCUGACAGUGGCCCUCUACACACGUGCCCAGAGAACGAACAUGGGCAGCAAUAUUUGCAGCUUCAAGGGAAGGGGCACAUCCUGGGGGAAUGUACUAGAAACAGGACAGCAUGUUUCAUCUGAGAAAGUGUAUUUUCAUGUUAAGAUAUAGAUUUGGAAGCUAGUCCUAAAAUAGCUUUUUUUCCCCAAAAUAAAGCUUAAUAAAAUCUUAUUGGCCAAACAAAGCA